UGCCAGCAAGACCAAGUUUAUUCCUGUAGU
Molecule: non-coding RNA, 30 nt
Filed under: Homo sapiens (human)
Lineage: Eukaryota; Metazoa; Chordata; Mammalia; Primates; Hominidae
Source: RNAcentral